GACGAACGCUGGCGGCGUGCCUAAUACAUGCAAGUCGAACGCAGUGGGGACGGGUGAGUAACACGUGGGUAACCUCCCAUCAGAGGGGAUAACACUUGGAAACAGGUGCUAAACCGAUACUGAUGGAUGGACCCGCGGUGCAUUAGCUAGUUGGUGAGGUAACGGCUCACCAAGGCCACGAUGCAUAGCCGGCCUGAGAGGGUGAGCGGCCACACUGGAACUGAGACACGGCCCAGACUCCUACGGGAGGCAGCAGUAGGGAAUCUUGAGCAAUGGGCGAAAGUCUGACCGAGCAACGCCGCGUGAGUGAAGAAGGUUUUCGGAUCGUAAAACACUGUUGUUAGAGAAGCGGUAUCUAAACAGAAAGCAACGGCUAACUACGUGCCAGCCGCCGCGGUAAUAC
RNAcentral lists this ribosomal RNA (403 nucleotides) under uncultured bacterium. RNAcentral describes it as "partial 16S ribosomal RNA". It matches the Rfam family "Bacterial small subunit ribosomal RNA", at positions 28 to 526 of the family's 1533-position model. The record is from RNAcentral.